CCUUUGCGGGCUGUGCCAGCAUCAUCCGCGUUGGGGGCCAGUUCUGGGCCGGGAGGGAGGCUUGUGUGGAGCAGCUCUUCUUCAUCUGCCAGUCCGGCCUCCGCCGUGCAUACCGGGAUCUCUCCACUCCCCGGCAGCCGCCGGCCUGCCCAUGGUUCGCGUGCAGCAGGAGGCCAAGAGGCACGGCAGCGACCAGCACCCCCAGAGAGG
This is a long non-coding RNA of Varanus komodoensis (Komodo dragon), 210 nucleotides long. RefSeq lists it as uncharacterized. The record is from RefSeq and is a predicted model, not a curated record. The transcript is spliced from 3 exons. NCBI's taxonomy places the organism in Eukaryota, Metazoa, Chordata, Lepidosauria, Squamata, Varanidae.